RNAcentral lists this transfer RNA (73 nucleotides) under Orchesella cincta. It matches the Rfam family "tRNA". Rfam says of the family: Transfer RNA (tRNA) molecules are approximately 80 nucleotides in length. Lineage: Eukaryota; Metazoa; Arthropoda; Collembola; Entomobryomorpha; Orchesellidae. RNAcentral also lists the same sequence under 1 other name. The record is from Rfam by way of RNAcentral.
GGUCGCGUGGUGUAGCGGUUAUCACGUCAGCUUUACACGCUGAAUGUCCCCGGUUCGAACCCGGGCGCGAUCA